CACGUAGGCACCAAGCGUUGUUCGGAAUUACUGGGCGUAAAGGGCUCGUAGGCGGCCAACUAAGUCGGAUGUGAAAUCCCCAGGCUUAACCUGGGAACUGCAUCCGAUACUGGAUGGCUUGAAUCCGGGAGAGGGAUGCAGAAUUCCAGGUGUAGCGGUGAAAUGCGUAGAUAUCUGGAGGAAUACCGGUGGCGAAGGCGGCAUCCUGGACCGGCAUUGACGCUGAUGAGCGAAAGCUAGGGGAGCAAACGGG
This 253-nucleotide ribosomal RNA is filed under the name uncultured bacterium. RNAcentral's name for it is "partial 16S ribosomal RNA". It matches the Rfam family "Bacterial small subunit ribosomal RNA", at positions 524 to 776 of the family's 1533-position model. The record is from RNAcentral.